GCCUGCGGUGAUAGCUCGCUAAAUGCACCAGUUCCAAAUGGAUCACUAAAGUGAAGCAACGUUGCGCGUGAUUUUUAACUUGGUGGGUGACCAUCUAGGUAAUUUUCUUGACUUGAAUACC
This 121-nucleotide ribosomal RNA is filed under the name Diaphorina citri (Asian citrus psyllid). The record is from RNAcentral. Lineage: Eukaryota; Metazoa; Arthropoda; Insecta; Hemiptera; Psyllidae.